RNAcentral lists this ribosomal RNA (438 nucleotides) under uncultured bacterium. RNAcentral's name for it is "bacterial SSU rRNA". It matches the Rfam family "Bacterial small subunit ribosomal RNA", at positions 398 to 832 of the family's 1533-position model. The record is from RNAcentral.
CGCGUGCAGGAAGAAGGCUUCGGGUUGUAAACUGCUUUUGUACGGAACGAAAAGGUCUGCCCUAAUACGGCGGGCCCAUGACGGUACCGUAAGAAUAAGCACCGGCUAACUACGUGCCAGCAGCCGCGGUAAUACGUAGGGUGCGAGCGUUAAUCGGAAUUACUGGGCGUAAAGCGUGCGCAGGCGGUGAUGUAAGACAGUUGUGAAAUCCCCGGGCUCAACCUGGGAAUUGCAUCUGUGACUGCAUCGCUAGAGUACGGUAGAGGGGGAUGGAAUUCCGCGUGUAGCAGUGAAAUGCGUAGAUAUGCGGAGGAACACCGAUGGCGAAGGCAAUCCCCUGGACCUGUACUGACGCUCAUGCACGAAAGCGUGGGGAGCAAACAGGAUUAGAUACCUGGUAUCCACGCCCUAACGAUGUCAACUGGUUGUUGGGUGCAU